GCUGAACUUAAGCAUAUCAAUAAGCGGAGGAAAAGAAACCAACAGGGAUUGCCCUAGUAACGGCGAGUGAAGCGGCAACAGCUCAAAUUUGAAAUCUGGCGCAAGCCCGAGUUGUAAUUUGUAGAGGAUGCUUCUAGGUAGCGACCGGUCUAAGUUCCUUGGAACAGGACGUCAUAGAGGGUGAGAAUCCCGUAUGUGACCGGCCCGCACCUUCUACGUAGCUCCUUCGACGAGUCGAGUUGUUUGGGAAUGCAGCUCUAAAUGGGAGGUAAAUUUCUUCUAAAGCUAAAUACCGGCCAGAGACCGAUAGCGCACAAGUAGAGUGAUCGAAAGAUGAAAAGCACUUUGGAAAGAGAGUUAAAAAGCACGUGAAAUUGUUGAAAGGGAAGCGCUCACAACCAGACUUCUGGGCGGUGUUCCGCCGGUCUUCUGACCGGUCUACUCACCGUCCCGAGGCCAACAUCAUCUGGGACCGCCGGAUAAGACCUCAGGAAUGUAGCUCCCCUCGGGGAGUGUUAUAGCCUGUGGUGAUGCGGCGCGUCUCGGGUGAGGUCCGCGCUUCGGCAAGGAUGUUGGCGUAAUGGUUGUCAGCGGCCCGUCUUGAAACACGGACCAAGGAGUCUAACAUCUAUGCGAGUGUUCGGGUGUCAAACCCCUACGCGUAAUGAAAGUGAACGGAGGUGGGAAGGGCAACCUGCACCAUCGACCGAUCCUGAUGUCCUCGGAUGGAUUUGAGUAAGAGCAUAGCUGUUGGGACCCGAAAGAUGGUGAACUAUGCCUGAAUAGGGUGAAGCCAGAGGAAACUCUGGUGGAGGCUCGCAGCGGUUCUGACGUGCAAAUCGAUCGUCAAAUUUGGGUAUAGGGGCGAAAGACUAAUCGAACCAUCUAGUAGCUGGUCCUGC
RNAcentral lists this ribosomal RNA (902 nucleotides) under Ramularia miae. Its description in RNAcentral is "eukaryotic LSU rRNA". It matches the Rfam family "Eukaryotic large subunit ribosomal RNA", at positions 27 to 960 of the family's 3401-position model. The record is from RNAcentral. Lineage: Eukaryota; Fungi; Ascomycota; Dothideomycetes; Mycosphaerellales; Mycosphaerellaceae.